This 399-nucleotide ribosomal RNA is filed under the name uncultured bacterium. Its description in RNAcentral is "bacterial SSU rRNA". It matches the Rfam family "Bacterial small subunit ribosomal RNA", at positions 30 to 431 of the family's 1533-position model. The record is from RNAcentral.
AUUGAACGCUGGCGGCAUGCUUUACACAUGCAAGUCGAACGGUAACAGGGAGCUUGCUCCGCUGACGAGUGGCGAACGGGUGAGUAAUGCAUCGGAACGUACCGUGUAAUGGGGGAUAACGUAGCGAAAGUUACGCUAAUACCACAUACGCCCUGAGGGGGAAAGUGGGGGACCGCAAGGCCUCACGUUAUACGAGCGGCCGAUGUCGGAUUAGCUAGUUGGUGGGGUAAAGGCCUACCAAGGCGACGAUCCGUAGCGGGUCUGAGAGGAUGAUCCGCCACACUGGGACUGAGACACGGCCCAGACUCCUACGGGAGGCAGCAGUGGGGAAUUUUGGACAAUGGGGGCAACCCUGAUCCAGCCAUGCCGCGUGAGUGAAGAAGGCCUCGGUUGUAAGAC